AGUGGUGGAGAGGAGGGGAGGGUUGAGGGGUGGCGGAGAGGAGAGAAGGGUUGAGGGGUGGUGGAGAGGAGAGGAGGGUUGAGGGGUGGUGGAGAGGAGAGGAGGGUUGAGGGGUGGCGGAGAGAAGAGAAGGGUUGAGGGGUGGCGGAGAGGAGAGGAGGGUUGAGGGGUGGUGGAGAGGAGAGAGAAGGGUUGAGGGGUGGCGGAGAGGAGAGAAGGUUUGAGGAGUGGCGGAGAGGAGAGAAGGGUUGAGGGGUGGCGGAGAGGAGAGGAAGGUAGAGGGGUGGCAGAGAGGAGAGGAGGGUUGAGGAGUGGAGGAGAGAAGAGAAGGGUUGAGGGGUGGCGGAGAGGAGAGGAGGGUUGAGGGGUGGCGGAGAGGAGAGAAGGGUUGAGGGGUGGCGGAGAGGAGAGAAGGGUUGAGGGGUGGCGGAGAGGAGAGAAGGUUUGAGGAGUGUCAGAGAGGAGAGAAGGGUUGAGGGGUGGCGGAGAGGAGAGGAAGGUAGAGGGGUGGCAGAGAGGAGAGGAGGGUUGAGGAGUGGAGGAGAGGAGAGGAGGGUUGAGGGGUGGCGGAGAGGAGAGAAGGGUUGAGGGGUGGCGGAGAGGAGAGAAGGGUUGAGGGGUGGCGGAGAGGAGAGAAGGGUUGACGGGUGGCGGAGAGGAGAGAAGGGUUGAGGGGUGGCGGAGAGGAGAGAAGGGUUGAGGGGUGGCGGAGAGGAGAGAAGGGUUGAGGGGUGGCGGAGAGGAGAGGAGGGUUUAGGAGUGGCGGAGAGAAGAGAAGGGUUGAGGGGUUGCGGAGAGAACAGGAGGGUUGAGGGGUGGCGGAGAGGAGAGGAGGUUUGAGGAGUGGCGGAGAGGAGAGGAGGGUUGAGGAGUGGCAGAGAGGAAAGGAGGGUUGAGGGGGGGCGGAGAGGAGAGGAGGGUUGAGGGGUGGCGGAGAGGAGAGGAGGGUUGAGGGGUGGCGGAGAGGAGAGGAGGGUUGAGGAGUGGCGGAGAGAGGAGGGUUGAGGGGGGGCGGAGAGGAGAGGAGGGUUGAGGGGUGGCGGAGAGGAGAGGAGGGUUGAGGGGUGGCGGAGAGGAGAGGAGGGUUGAGGAGUGGCGGAGAGGAGAGGAGAGGAGGGUUGAGGAGUGGCGGAGAGGAGAGGAGGGUUGAGGGGUGGCGGAGAGGAGAGGAGGGUUGAGGGGUGGCGGAUAGGAGAGGAGGGUUGAGGAGUGGCGGAGAGGAGAGGAGAGGAGGUUUGAGGAGUGGCGGAGAGGAGAGGAGAGAAGGGUUGAGGGGUGGCGGAGAGGAGAGGAGGGUUGAGGGGUGGCGGAGAGGAGAGAAGGGUCAAGGGGUGGCGGAGAGGAGAGAAGGGUUGAGGGGUGGCGGAGAGGAGAGGAG
Long non-coding RNA from Oncorhynchus tshawytscha (Chinook salmon), 1378 nucleotides. The record is from Ensembl. NCBI's taxonomy places the organism in Eukaryota, Metazoa, Chordata, Actinopteri, Salmoniformes, Salmonidae.